AGGUUUCCGUAGGUGAACCUGCGGAAGGAUCAUUCG
Molecule: ribosomal RNA, 36 nt
Filed under: Symbiodinium sp. One0410dir
Lineage: Eukaryota; Dinophyceae; Suessiales; Symbiodiniaceae
Description: partial 18S ribosomal RNA
Source: RNAcentral